This 460-nucleotide ribosomal RNA is filed under the name uncultured bacterium. RNAcentral's name for it is "partial 16S ribosomal RNA". It matches the Rfam family "Bacterial small subunit ribosomal RNA", at positions 338 to 795 of the family's 1533-position model. The record is from RNAcentral.
CCUACGGGUGGCAGCAGUGAGGAAUAUUGGUCAAUGGACGAGAGUCUGAACCAGUCAAGUAGCGUGAAGGAUGACUGCCCUAUGGGUUGUAAACUUCUUUUAUAUGGGAAUAAAAUGUUCCACGUGUGGGAUUUUGUAUGUACCAUAUGAAUAAGGAUCGGCUAACUCCGUUCCAGCAGCCGCGGUAAUACGGAGGAUCCGAGCGUUAUCCGGAUUUAUUGGGUUUAAAGGGAGCGUAGGUGGAUUGUUAAGUCAGUUGUGAAAGUUUGCGGCUCAACCGUAAAAUUGCAGUUGAAACUGGCAGUCUUGAGUACAGUAGAGGUGGGCGGAAUUCGUGGUGUAGCGGUGAAAUGCUUAGAUAUCACGAAGAACUCCGAUUGCGAAGGCAGUUCACUGGACUGCAACUGACACUGAGGCUCGAAAGUGUGGGUAUCAAACAGGAUUAGAUACCCCAGUAGUC